GAGAGAAUUCUACACUGGUACAGGAUUUACGGAAUAGACCCUCACCUUAGCCAAUAUCAAAAACCAGAAACGGAAAACAAACGAGAUGACUUGAUUCCCAUGAAAGCUAAGGUUUCACCAUGGAUCUUGACUCUCGCCAACAUCACACCAAGCCGGAAAGUUCGAAGACAAAACAUAAUACAUUAUUAAAUAUAAUAAAUCUUAGGGUUUAUGCAAACGUUACUUAUGGCCCAAGAACAAUAUGUGAAAGAAGAGCUUAGCUCUUAAGGCUUGGCUUACAGUUAUGGAUCUCGGACUCCGACGAUGUAAACUACAACUCCGGUGACACACUGCAGCUCUCCCGUGACAUGGCCUACUCCUCCACUAGUUCACGGCUGAUGGUGGUGGAGAUCAACGAUCGAUGGUGAUGAGACGCGACAACUCCGAUCCGUACGUCAUCUCUUCCUCCUCUUGGCUCCAUAACACAACGCCAACAAGAGGAUGCUCCAUGACAGUAGCUGUACCCUUCUGGUGAUGAACAAUAGCUCUGGUGAAAUGAGGUGAGAUGGCUCACGGUUGUGGAUGCGUAACGUCUUCUCCGACAUCAAACGUACGAGACCACAAGAAGAAUAAGAGGGGGAAGAGGAAAUGAGAAUUAAUAAUAUAUAAUAAGAAGAAGAAUAACAGUGGAGAAUGAAGGAGAUGGAAUCGACAUGACGGUGGUGCACUCAAACGCACAAUGACGGCUCCUCAUAGAAGGAGAAAAACUUAUGAUAAUAAAAUUAGGUAAAUAGCUAUUUAUACAUAGGAUUGGUUUACGAAUGGUUUAGAUGGAUAGAUACUUUGGUUCAAUCCAAAUUAAUUAAAGGGAAAGAAAAAAAAACAAACCAACUGGUUAAGGAAACCGGGUCGUUACAAUUCUUCCCUACUUAAUCGGAAUUCGUCCCGAAUUCUUAGAGAGAACUAGGAAAGGAUUUAAACGACUAUGAAGGAAGAAGAACAAGAGAUGAGAAAACAAAGGAAACGAACAUAACCUUGGCCUUCUCCUACAAAGAAAAAAAAAGAGAAACACUACGAACUAACCGAAUGAUACUGGACUUCUUGGUGUCAAUUUUUUUUUUAAAACUCCAAUUCCGAAACAUUGAAAACCGUUGAAAUCUGAGUCCCAUAAAUCGCCGUCCCGGGUCAGAGCCGGGACGGAACCCCGCUCUGAUACCAAAUUGUAACACCCGUCUCCUCCUCUCUCGAGAACGGCGUGCUACUAACCGGAAUAUACCAAAUUAAAUUGAUUUAUAAAACUGAAUAAAAUGUAAACCUUUAAAUAAAAUAAUUUCCAAAUAAAACUGGUUUAUAAUUUAAAAACCAAAUACAUUAAAUUGAAAAGUUAAUUAAAACCGAAAUAAAAUACAACGAUCCCAAGACACCAAUCCGUCCAGAUAUCCAACACUCAACAAGCUCACCUGCAAGGGGAAGAAGAGGGGUGAGCAACAGGGGAGUUACUCCGUGAGGUAUUGGGAUGCUAAACACGCAAACCACUGACUUGAGUAAAUAGAACUCCCACUAUGGAAGUUUAGCUCUAACAUGAACACACACGACGCCUAGCGCGUCACACAAACCAAACAAUGCGAUGAUAGCAUAAAGCUAGUCCUUACACCCCGCAUCUCCUCAUAUGGAUAUAUAAUACGUAGCGUCGCUAGUACAGUAUGUCUCUGUACCCCCGCCCUCUCAAGUAGCGUCCAUGAUACAAACGUCUCUGCACCACACGCCCGCACAAGUAGCAUCGCAAGUCCAGACGUCUCUGAACCCCUGCCCGCACAACCAAAGUAGCGUCACUAGCCCAGACAUCUCUGAGCCCCCGCCCGCGCACAUAGUCCCUACUAUUAACUAUGUAUACAUAUAUAUAUAUAUCGCAUCUCUUAACAUCACACAAUCCAAUCAAAGGUUGAAUCCUCUAGACCCCUAGUUCCAGUUUACAAUAAAUGAAUUAGCUAACAAUCAAGACUCAAUUCAAACAGACGGAUCAUGAUUCGAAAUCUAAACUACGAUAGAGAGAAUUCUACACUGGUACAGGAUUUACGGAAUAGACCCUCACCUUAGCCAUAUCAAAAACCAGAAACGGAAAACAAACGAGAUGACUUGAUUCCCAUGAAAGCUAAGGUUUCACCAUGGAUCUUGACUCUCGCCAACAUCACACCAAGCCGGAAAGUUCGAAGACAAAACAUAAUACAUUAUUAAAUAUAAUAAAUCUUAGGGUUUAUGCAAACGUUACUUAUGGCCCAAG
Molecule: long non-coding RNA, 2260 nt
Filed under: Brassica rapa (field mustard)
Lineage: Eukaryota; Viridiplantae; Streptophyta; Magnoliopsida; Brassicales; Brassicaceae
Description: long non-coding RNA (BRAP_LNC004400)
Source: RNAcentral